Myotis davidii is the source of this 636-nucleotide long non-coding RNA. RefSeq lists it as uncharacterized. The transcript is spliced from 3 exons. The record is from RefSeq and is a predicted model, not a curated record. NCBI's taxonomy places the organism in Eukaryota, Metazoa, Chordata, Mammalia, Chiroptera, Vespertilionidae.
AAUAUAUUUAAUAAUAAUUUAAAAAAUAGGCCAUAGGGACCAUGCCGGGAGCAAGAGGGAAGACAGCUGAUCAUCAUUAGGAGGUGGAGGCGAUCCUCAUAUGCAGGUGAGCAGCGGCCCUUGUCCAUCGCCCUCUACAGAUGGGUCUCUUGUCAGAAAUCUGUUGUGUGAGUGAGACCCCCCUGAUGUGCCAAAGCCUAGAAAUCAUCUGGGAGAAAGACACUGUGAGCCACGAGUCAUCACAGAAAUAAAUAACGUCCCCUUUCCUCUUCUUUAAGACAGUCAGGACGCCCACAUGGGUCCGAUUUCCUCUGGCCCCAGCUCUCCUGCCGGGCUCAGCCGCACCACCAUGGACCAGCAGGGACCGCACAGCCCAGGUCUGAGCGCUCGCCUUUCUUGCCACCGGUUCCUGGCCGGGCUGACCCGAGGAGGACAAACAUCCCGCCAGCCAGAAAGGAACUGCUCGCACCAGUCCCUCCACCACCUGCCGGAGACGGAAAAGCUGUUCUCCUGGGUCAGACGCUGAUUCAGUCCUGCUGGUGGGAUGAGAUGUGGUUCCGGGAGCGGCCCCAGCCAUCUCGAACCCAGCGUGGGGAUGAAGCCAGUCCUGAAAUCUGCCCUCCCUCUAGACUGCUG